This 463-nucleotide ribosomal RNA is filed under the name Vibrio cholerae. RNAcentral's name for it is "partial 23S ribosomal RNA". It matches the Rfam family "Bacterial large subunit ribosomal RNA", at positions 725 to 1188 of the family's 2925-position model. The record is from RNAcentral. Lineage: Bacteria; Pseudomonadati; Pseudomonadota; Gammaproteobacteria; Vibrionales; Vibrionaceae.
GUGAUCUAGCCAUGGGCAGGUUGAAGGUUGAGUAACAUCAACUGGAGGACCGAACCGACUAAUGUUGAAAAAUUAGCGGAUGACUUGUGGCUAGGGGUGAAAGGCCAAUCAAACUCGGAGAUAGCUGGUUCUCCCCGAAAGCUAUUUAGGUAGCGCCUCGGACGAAUACUACUGGGGGUAGAGCACUGUUAAGGCUAGGGGGUCAUCCCGACUUACCAACCCUUUGCAAACUCCGAAUACCAGUAAGUACUAUCCGGGAGACACACGGCGGGUGCUAACGUCCGUCGUGGAGAGGGAAACAACCCAGACCGCCAGCUAAGGUCCCAAAGUAUUGCUAAGUGGGAAACGAUGUGGGAAGGCUCAGACAGCUAGGAUGUUGGCUUAGAAGCAGCCAUCAUUUAAAGAAAGCGUAAUAGCUCACUAGUCGAGUCGGCCUGCGCGGAAGAUGUAACGGGGCUAAGCA